UACGAAGGGGGCUAGCGUUGUUCGGAAUUACUGGGCGUAAAGCGCGCGCAGGCGGUUUCUCAAGUCAGUGGUGAAAGCCCGGAGCUCAACUCCGGAACUGCCAUUGAAACUGUGAGACUUGAGGACGAGAGAGGUGAGUGGAAUUCCCAGUGUAGAGGUGAAAUUCGUAGAUAUUCGCAAGAACACCAGUGGCGAAGGCGGCUCACUGGCCCGGUACUGACGCUGAGGUGCGAAAGCGUGGGGAGCAAACAGG
RNAcentral lists this ribosomal RNA (253 nucleotides) under uncultured bacterium. RNAcentral describes it as "partial 16S ribosomal RNA". It matches the Rfam family "Bacterial small subunit ribosomal RNA", at positions 524 to 776 of the family's 1533-position model. The record is from RNAcentral.